This 421-nucleotide ribosomal RNA is filed under the name uncultured prokaryote. RNAcentral describes it as "partial 16S ribosomal RNA". The record is from RNAcentral.
CCCUAUGGGGUGCAGCAGGCAGAAGAUGGUCUGCAGGGGUUGGAACUGCUUGCGGCCCAUCGUCCCGACCUGAUUUUGGUGGAUCUUCGCAUGCCGCGCAUGGAUGGCUUGCAGGUUCUGGCCAAGGUGCAGGAAGUGGCCCCGGAGAUUCCUAUCAUGGUCGUGUCCGGCGCCGGCGACAUUCGCGACGUGGUGGAGGCCCUGCGCCGGGGGGCGUGGGAUUAUCUGGUCAAGCCAAUCCAGGACAUGAACAUUCUGCUCCAUUCCGUGCAGAAUUGUCUGGAACGCGCCCGGUUGCAGAGUCAGAACCGGGAAUACCAGCAAAGCCUCGAAGAAUCUCUCGACAAACUGCACCGCACCCAAAAGGAGAUGAGCCAUUCGGCCAAGAUGGCUGCUCUGGGAGACUUGGUGGCGGGGGGGC